Molecule: long non-coding RNA, 1661 nt
Filed under: Zea mays
Lineage: Eukaryota; Viridiplantae; Streptophyta; Magnoliopsida; Poales; Poaceae
Description: long non-coding RNA (ZMAY_LNC003912)
Source: RNAcentral
CCGGACCGAGAGUGCUACGGCGUCAAUCCUUUCUAUCCUCGUCGUGCCCAGCUUCUCUUCCCUCUUUUCCCCUCACUGAUGAACCCUAGCCGCCGUCUCCAUGCCGGAUCCCGCACCCGAGCCUGCCCUCGCCGGCGCCGGCGCUGCUGGUGAGCAUUGGUUUUCAGUUUUAUGUCCAGUUUUAGUCUGACUGGGAGCAUUGUUUAUGGCCAGUUUCAGUUUUAAAGGACCUUUGCAUUUUUCAGUGUGCAGCCCCUCGCCUCAACAUUCAGUUCACAGAUUUUCAGUUCAGUGAUAUUCAACUGAAACUGGAUGGUAAGUUUUCAGUGACCAUGUUGAGGCGAACAACAGUUCAUGUCACUGAAAAUAGAAUGACCAUGCAUUUUUCAUAGAAUGGCCAUAUUCAGUUCACAGAAAUAAAUGGACCGCAGUUCACAGAUUAGAAUUCAGUUCACAGAUUACAACCGGAAUUCAGUUCACACAGAUUAAAUGGACUGCAGUUCACACAGCAGUUCAUAGAUUAGAAUUCAGCGGCUAGGGUUGCCAUGCUGCCUGUGCCGUACACCAUCACACAGCUAGAGCUAGUUCAAUUCCCUUUCCCUUCCCGUUGUCACCCCUCUGUUCAGUCCACACCACACCCUCCUCAACCGCACCGUCGUCGUCUAGCCGACUAGCGGCGGGAGCUAUAGCUUCGACGAGCCGACGACAAACACCAACAGGAGGGGAAAGGAGGGAAGAGAAGCUAGGGCCUAGGGAGGGAGGAGAGCUGCUGGGAGACGACGACGAGAAGACUGGCGCCGUAACGCUAGCCGUCCGUGACCUGCGCCUGAUAGACCUUACUGAAAGAUCGCAAGGCUAACAACGACGACUGCUGAUGGUAUUUUUCUAUUAUGGCAAAGAGAAGACUUGUAUCCUUUCUAUUUUGAUAAACAUGUGUACACCGAAUUGAAGCUCAGUUCUGUAGGAGGUGACUCAUUUCCGUUGAACAUAUUCAUCGACGCCACUCGUGUUUUGUUCAUCGACAUUAAUUCUAUACACGAUGCUUGGGUUUAGAAUACAUGUGUUUGGUAGGCUAAGUUGUACAAUACUGAUUCCUCCAUUUGUUUACCAAUCUGAAGUUGACAGUACCAAGUUAAAUUCACCACGAACCGUCCAGACAACACCCACACACAACAUUCCAAGUAGCAAAAUAUCUAUUACAACCAAUAUGAUCAAGUUCAUGGUUUCUAUAAACCAACAUGAUCUGGUCUUCUUACUUUUGUCCUUGCUAGAGUCUCGACCUAAGAAACGCUUCGAUGUUGUGCUUCCAGGACACGAGUCUUCAGGGUCUAUGUCAAUGGUGUUGGAUCCAAGCGGAGUAGCUUGAACGGUCCGUGCUUGCUAACCAGUGUUGUGAUCCAUCCAUAUGGGCUCAUCCUUCAGAAUGAACCAACAAUGAAGAAGAGUAAAUGAGUGCUUUUCAAUCGUAGCAUAUCGAGAAGCCGCUAAAGAUGUUUGCAUAUUAAAGAAAAAUACAUGAGCCAUUGCGACAUGUAUAUGUGACAAUGAAAAGAAUGGCAUUUGCAAUUCAAUGUACAACAAAGUACCUUGUCAACAUCGGAAACCCCACUCGGUUUCUCAUGGAGAAAAUUUUCCAUGUAGUCUAAGAAAAUCGAGCAUUA